GUUGGGAAUAUUGCGCAAUGGGCGAAAGCCUGACGCAGCGACGCCGCGUGAAGGAAGAAGCCUCUAGGGGUGUAAACUUCUUUUGUUUGGGAGGAUUAUGACAUUACCAAACGAAUAAGUGACGGCUAACUACGUGCCAGAAGCCUCGGUGAUACGUAGGUCACGAGCAUUAUCCGGAAUUAUUGGGCGUAAAGCGUGUCUAGGUGGUUUUGAAAGUUUUUUGUUAAAUGUUCAGGCUCAACCUGAAAAUCGCAGGAAAUACUUCAAGACUAGAGGUCAGUAGAGGUGUAUAGAACUUUCGGUGUAGGAGUGAAAUCCGUUGAUAUCGAAAGGAAUACCAAUGGCGAAGGCAGUACACUAGACUGAUUCUGACACUCAAGCACGAAAGCGUGGGUAGCGAAAAGGAUUAGAAACCCGGGUAGUCC
This 425-nucleotide ribosomal RNA is filed under the name uncultured bacterium. Its description in RNAcentral is "partial 16S ribosomal RNA". It matches the Rfam family "Bacterial small subunit ribosomal RNA", at positions 354 to 796 of the family's 1533-position model. The record is from RNAcentral.